AUGUAUGAAAAAAUAAGGAACGUAGGGAACCAUCUCCAUAAUGUUAAAGUAUUGCGAGAUGGCCAAGGACAGCUGUUUGUGUCAUACAGACAAAGUCACAAUCAACGCGUAGCUGCAGACGAGUAUGGACCUUGUCCUUACUGUUACGGGUAUUACCCGAAGAAAAUCCUGUGGAGGCACACUCAAAAAUGUAAGUUUACAAUGCGGCGGGAUCAAGAAAACGACUCGCUUUAGAGAGCAGCCUGCUAUUACCAAAAUCAAAAGAAGGAAGCACUAUUUUAAGACGAGUAAUCGAGUCCAUGAGAAACGACGAAAUAAGUCGCAAAGUCAAAAGUGAUAAUACAAUCCUUGCAUUCGGUGAAAAACUCUGUACAAAAAGGGGCCAUGAUGAAAAGCAACACAAUUAUAUUAGACAGAAGUUAAGAGAAGUUGGUAGAUUGCUGAAAGACAUGCGAUCUUGUCCAGGCAAUGUUGAAAAGUCUUUGGAGAAUUUCAUGUAUCCAGAUGCUUUCAAAUUUAUUACACAAUCUUGCAAAAACGUUGCAGGCUUCGACGGAAACACCAAUACUUAUGCUACACCAUCAUUAGCCUUAAAGAUUGGCACAACGCUUCAGAAAUGUCUAAAAAUUCUAAUUUUGAAAGGAAUCGAAACAAACAACCAGGAUCUGCAAACAAGGGCUGAGGAGCUUUCCAAACUAUUUGAAAUUAAUUGGACGGAUGACGUGUCUUCCAAUGCCUUAAGAACACUUCAUGAGGCUAAGCAGAACAGUCAGAAAGAACUGUUGCCAUUGGCAAAUGAUGUCAAAGUAAUGUCUGAAUACUUACGACAUGAAGCAGAAACACAUGCAAAUACCUUACAAGAAUCAGCAAGUGAUUGCGAGAAAAGGCAAGCAUGGCAUAAGUUGUCUGAAAUCUGCUUGUGUUUAAUCGAAACGAUCAGACGAUGUGUCAAAAUGACAGUCGAAGAAUAUUCAAAAAACAAAUUGACAAAUGACGAUGGAGAAUUAGAUUGAUGUUUAACAAAACUGGAAAAAAACCUGUGCCGUUAUUUUUACCGUACAGAGAUUAUUGCAAAACGAGGUCGAAUAGCUGCAGUACUGUUUCCAAGACAGGUGAAAGAAAAUAUCGACCUGCUCAUACGCAGCAGAAAUUCUCUAACAAACUGUUUAAAUAGUAAAUAUCUUUUCCCAACAAAAUCUGCAUCAUCGCAUAUUCGUGGGACAGAUGUAUUACGUUCAAUUGCAAUUGACUGUGGAGCUGAACAUCCGAAAAGGCUUCGUUCUACAAUGACUAGGCUUUUUAACUUGUCUGAAAAUGAAAUAGACAUUCUAGCUAAAUUUCUUGGUCACGACAUUCGGGUACAUAGAGAAUUCUACAGAUAACCAGAUGGAACCAUGCAGGUUGCCAAAGUCAGCAAGCUGCUCAUGAUGAUGGAAAAUGGGCAAAUUACCAGAAAUUCUGUCAAUUCGCUAGACGAUAUUGAUGUGGACGACGAAUGUAUUGUAGAUGAACAAUAUUCUUCUGAAUUAUCAGAAAAUGAAAAUACUGAAGACCUUGAAACUCUGCUUCCCAGCACCAGUCAACCAAAAAUAACAGACAAAGAAAAGGGUACUUCAAAUACCAGGAGAACAAAACAAGCAGCCAAAAAGCAACGGAGUGAAGACGAAACCAGGAGCUGUUCACAGACACUUAGAUCGUUUUUUGAUAAUUGGUAAAUUACCAGGGAAAAAAUCAUUACUUGCAUGUAUUGAAAGUGAGAAUGACCUUCACAACAGAAGUUGGAAAAAUGUCAAAGACUUUUGCAUAAAUUUAAUUGAAACAAAAACGCGACGGGGACUUUUAACUUAAAAAAAUAUAACACAUAUAAUGCACGUUUAGGAGAAUACGUUAAAGGAUGAAGUUGCCACAUGUGUUUUGUGUGUUUUCUUGUUCUAUAUACUCUUUUCGAAAACGAUAUAUGUGUGCUUAUUGUAUUUGAAUGUUUUAUUAAUACGGUUCAGUCAAAAACGAUAUUUGUUCAUUAUCAUAUCGCCGAACAAAUUAGGAUUGGUAUAUAGUUCGGCCAAAGAGUGUUUCUUUGUACUUUCUAUUACGAGUUUCUACGAGUUACUCACUAUACAAGUUAUUUUUUACCCCAAACUUGGUGAAUAUGAAUGAAUAUAGCAAUUAUGAUAACAAAUCAAUCUAGAAGGCUAAACGUUCAGAGAAGGCACAAAAAAAUUCAGUCGGAUAAAUGGAAACAAACAUUUUGUUCAAGCAUAACAAACAAACACUUUUAGAUAUGAUAAGAUAAAUGUAAAUAACAUAAAAAAAACUACUGCUAAACUACUGCUACAAUGUGAAGAAUACAAAUGAAUAUUUUGUCAAUUUUACAAAAUUUGUUUUGAAUGACAGGUGUCUGACUUGCAGUUGAGUACUUAAUAGUUAUUUUAAAGUAAAAAUUUACCAAUAUGUAAAUUAUUGCGUAAAUAUCGCACUAGAAUUGAUUAAAUAGUUGUUAAAUAUUACAAUAAUUUCCUACACAGACUUUUGUGCAUUUGUUUUGCGUGUAGAUAUUCACAUUAACUAUCAAUUCACAUAUUUGCUUUGUGUAUAUAAUUGGUAUGUUUAUUUUCAGAAUUGAGUCACACUGUUAUAAUUUCCCUGUUGGUACAUAUUAUUUUUAAGUUGGCACCAACAAGGGUCUAACAAUUGAUUCACAUGUGCUAUCCCCAGUAAGUAUAUAUACUAAAAUGUAAGUGAUGCAAAAUAAUAUUAAACUACGUGUUUGAUAAGUGUUUGCUUUGGUACAUAUUUAAUUAUUAGUGUUUUUAUAAAAUGAUAAUGCUGUCAAAAGCAGCGAUGAUUAUACGUGUAUAACAACAUUAAUUAUAACUUUUAUAUUGUUUUCAACAAAUAAUAUAUGGUUGACACAUCGGCAUAAAUUUUCAGUGCUUAAAAUACACUCUUUCUUUUAUAUUUUAUGCAAAAAUUAGGUACAUAAGUUGGUUUACAUAAAGGUAGUUUGAACAAAAUACGUGAAUUCAAAUCUUGAAAAAAGGUGUUUGGUUUGCAAGGGAAAACUAAGCGAUUGCCAGUGACUAUUUUCCUUAAAAUAUAAUCUGUUAUUUCGACAGGUAGAAUUUAAUGUAAGUUCAUUAUUAACGUUAACCCGUUUUUGGCAUUCUCUACUCAAACAAGUGCAUACAUAAUGUAUUUUUUUAAUACAGCACAUGUGUAAUGGUAU
Long non-coding RNA from Dreissena polymorpha, 3226 nucleotides. RefSeq lists it as uncharacterized. The transcript is spliced from 3 exons. Lineage: Eukaryota; Metazoa; Mollusca; Bivalvia; Myida; Dreissenidae. The record is from RefSeq and is a predicted model, not a curated record.